AGUGACGAAAAAUAACGAUACGGGACUCAUCCGAGGCCCCGUAAUCGGAAUGAGUACACUCUAAACCCUUUAACGAGGAUCAAUUGGAGGGCAAGUCUGGUGCCAGCAGCCGCGGUAAUUCCAGCUCCAAUAGCGUAUAUUAAAGUUGUUGCGGUUAAAAAGCUCGUAGUCGAAUCUGUGUCCCGCGCCGCCGGUUCAUCGUUCGCGGUGUUAACUGGCGUGCCGGGGGACGUCCUGCCGGUGGGCUUAGCUCGCGAGGGCGGCCCAACUCAAUCCCGCCGCGGUGCUCUUCAUUGAGUGUCGAGGUGGGCCGGCACGUUUACUUUGAACAAAUUAGAGUGCUUAAAGCAGGCUAAAACUUCGCCUGAAUACUGUGUGCAUGGAAUAAUGGAAUAGGACCUCGGUUCUAUUUUGUUGGUUUUCGGAACCCCGAGGUAAUGAUUAAUAGGAACGGAUGGGGGCAUUCGUAUUGCGACGUUAGAGGUGAAAUUCUUGGAUCGUCGCAAGACGGACAGAAGCGAAAGCAUUUGCCAAAAACGCUUUCAUUGAUCAAGAACGAAAGUUAGAGGUUCGAAGGCGAUCAGAUACCGCCCUAGUUCUAACCAUAAACGAUGCCAGCUAGCGAUCCGCCGACGUUCCUCCGAUGACUCGGCGGGCAGCUUCCGGGAAACCAAAGCUUUUGGGUUCCGGGGGAAGUAUGGUUGCAAAGCUGAAACUUAAAGGAAUUGACGGAAGGGCACCACCAGGAGUGGAGCCUGCGGCUUAAUUU
Molecule: ribosomal RNA, 769 nt
Filed under: Pimelia elevata
Lineage: Eukaryota; Metazoa; Arthropoda; Insecta; Coleoptera; Tenebrionidae
Description: SSU rRNA
Rfam family: Eukaryotic small subunit ribosomal RNA
Source: RNAcentral